AAAUUGAAGAGUUUGAUCAUGGCUCAGAUUGAACGCUGGCGGCAGGCCUAACACAUGCAAGUCGAACGGUAACAGGAAGCAGCUUGCUGCUUUGCUGACGAGUGGCGGACGGGUGAGUAAUGUCUGGGAAACUGCCUGAUGGAGGGGGAUAACUACUGGAAACGGUGGCUAAUACCGCAUAACGUCGCAAGACCAAAGAGGGGGACCUUCGGGCCUCUUGCCAUCAGAUGUGCCCAGAUGGGAUUAGCUUGUUGGUGAGGUAACGGCUCACCAAGGCGACGAUCCCUAGCUGGUCUGAGAGGAUGACCAGCCACACUGGAACUGAGACACGGUCCAGACUCCUACGGGAGGCAGCAGUGGGGAAUAUUGCACAAUGGGCGCAAGCCUGAUGCAGCCAUGCCGCGUGUAUGAAGAAGGCCUUCGGGUUGUAAAGUACUUUCAGCGGGGAGGAAGGUGUUGUGGUUAAUAACCACAGCAAUUGACGUUACCCGCAGAAGAAGCACCGGCUAACUCCGUGCCAGCAGCCGCGGUAAUACGGAGGGUGCAAGCGUUAAUCGGAAUUACUGGGCGUAAAGCGCACGCAGGCGGUCUGUCAAGUCGGAUGUGAAAUCCCCGGGCUCAACCUGGGAACUGCAUUCGAAACUGGCAGGCUUGAGUCUUGUAGAGGGGGGUAGAAUUCCAGGUGUAGCGGUGAAAUGCGUAGAGAUCUGGAGGAAUACCGGUGGCGAAGGCGGCCCCCUGGACAAAGACUGACGCUCAGGUGCGAAAGCGUGGGGAGCAAACAGGAUUAGAUACCCUGGUAGUCCACGCCGUAAACGAUGUCUACUUGGAGGUUGUGCCCUUGAGGCGUGGCUUCCGGAGCUAACGCGUUAAGUAGACCGCCUGGGGAGUACGGCCGCAAGGUUAAAACUCAAAUGAAUUGACGGGGGCCCGCACAAGCGGUGGAGCAUGUGGUUUAAUUCGAUGCAACGCGAAGAACCUUACCUGGUCUUGACAUCCACAGAACUUUCCAGAGAUGGAUUGGUGCCUUCGGGAACUGUGAGACAGGUGCUGCAUGGCUGUCGUCAGCUCGUGUUGUGAAAUGUUGGGUUAAGUCCCGCAACGAGCGCAACCCUUAUCCUUUGUUGCCAGCGGUUAGGCCGGGAACUCAAAGGAGACUGCCAGUGAUAAACUGGAGGAAGGUGGGGAUGACGUCAAGUCAUCAUGGCCCUUACGACCAGGGCUACACACGUGCUACAAUGGCGCAUACAAAGAGAAGCGACCUCGCGAGAGCAAGCGGACCUCAUAAAGUGCGUCGUAGUCCGGAUUGGAGUCUGCAACUCGACUCCAUGAAGUCGGAAUCGCUAGUAAUCGUGGAUCAGAAUGCCACGGUGAAUACGUUCCCGGGCCUUGUACACACCGCCCGUCACACCAUGGGAGUGGGUUGCAAAAGAAGUAGGUAGCUUAACCUUCGGGAGGGCGCUUACCACUUUGUGAUUCAUGACUGGGGUGAAGUCGUAACAAGGUAACCGUAGGGGAACCUGCGGUUGGAUCACCUCCUUA
This 1542-nucleotide ribosomal RNA is filed under the name Salmonella enterica subsp. enterica serovar Heidelberg. Its description in RNAcentral is "bacterial SSU rRNA". It matches the Rfam family "Bacterial small subunit ribosomal RNA". The record is from RNAcentral. RNAcentral also lists the same sequence under 29 other names. Lineage: Bacteria; Pseudomonadati; Pseudomonadota; Gammaproteobacteria; Enterobacterales; Enterobacteriaceae.